GGAAUAUAGCUCAGUUGGUAGAGUGCUUGCCUUGCAUGCACAAGGCUCUGGGUUCAAAUUCCAGCACCA
RNAcentral lists this transfer RNA (69 nucleotides) under Marmota monax (woodchuck). RNAcentral describes it as "tRNA.Ala". The stretch from base 7 to 64 matches the Rfam family "tRNA", at positions 8 to 63 of the family's 71-position model. From Rfam's summary of the family: Transfer RNA (tRNA) molecules are approximately 80 nucleotides in length. Their secondary structure includes four short double-helical elements and three loops (D, anti-codon, and T loops). The record is from RNAcentral. Lineage: Eukaryota; Metazoa; Chordata; Mammalia; Rodentia; Sciuridae.